GAGGCUGUAGCUCAGUUGGUAGAGUUCUUGCCUGGCAUGCACAGAUCUCUGGGUUCCACACCCAGAACCACA
This 72-nucleotide transfer RNA is filed under the name Mus musculus (house mouse). RNAcentral's name for it is "tRNA-Ala". Lineage: Eukaryota; Metazoa; Chordata; Mammalia; Rodentia; Muridae. The record is from RNAcentral.